Molecule: long non-coding RNA, 1562 nt
Filed under: Nicotiana benthamiana
Lineage: Eukaryota; Viridiplantae; Streptophyta; Magnoliopsida; Solanales; Solanaceae
Description: long non-coding RNA (NBEN_LNC019942)
Source: RNAcentral
UUUUUAGGCACUUUAUCAUCACUUUUUUACGCAUCAUUUUACUUCACCAAAGCUCCAUUUUUUUCUGAAAAGUUUUAGAUUCCAAGAAAAACUCAAAAAAAAAAAAAUCAAAACUUCUUUUUUUAUUCUUUACAAGCCAGAGAUAAUGGUUUGAAGUUGGAAGGAUCUUUCUUCGGUACAUUGUUUGGAUUUCUGGGUUUAGUUUUUUUGGUUUUUGAGUCUUAAAAUUUGGUUUAAUUGUGGAAUGAUAUAGCUAUGUUGUUUUUGCUGCUGUAUUGUGCUGUUGUUCCAGUCAGUUUUCAAAAAGCUAUUUGAUUUUACUGUCUAAUUUUUGCUAAUAUAAGAUACACAUUUUAAAAUUUGCCUAAUUUGAUUUCAUUUAGCCUUUUAUGUAAUCUUUUAUCUAGUUGGUUGAAUGAAAAGCUCAUGGUUAUUAAAUGACUCUUUGUAUUUCUAGCCUAUUUGUUCUUUAUGACUAUGAUUUUAUUUAAAAUGUGUUCAGUUAGUACCUCACUGCAUGCCUAAGAAUUUUACUUAGCUGAAAUUCUUAUAUGAAAUGAGUGUUGGAAUAGUUUGAACAUGAAUUCCUAAUUGCUAAAAAGCCUUUUUCUUUUCUUUGUAAUUGUUUUGUUAGUUAAGUCAAAAUUAUACAAACCCAUAGGUUUCUAUAUGUACUAAUGAUUGUAUGGUUACCUCUGCUUUGGUGUAAGUUUGAAGUGUGGACUUGUGAGAAACAGCUCCAUUGUUAAUUUCUUGCAAGUUUGCAUAUUGGAUUAGAGAAUCUGAAGAUAAGAGAAAACCAGAAAUUAGAAUGAAGAUGUUUAUUUCGAUUAUUUUCCAUUAGAAGUUUUCUUUUAGGCAUUAGUUUGAUAAAUAAUUGAAAUAAUAGAUUAUUAAGUUAUUUUUUGUACAUUCAUGACUCUUAGCAGUGUAAAUGGUCUGUUAUGAUUCUUCUAAAUUCAUCUUUUCUUUAGUUUAGUUAGUAUAUGAUCACCAUAUCUGGACCCCUAUUUUUUAUGUUUUUAUAUGAGCAUGUAUUAUGGUUGCAAAUAGGGCUGGACUUGCAACCAGGCCCAAGUUUUGGGUUCAUUCGAGCAAGUCUAACCUAGGCCAUUGGGCCAUGGCAGUUGGACCCAACAGCUUGACCUAGCUAAAAAUAAUUUUCUUUCGCGAAUUACAAAUGUAUAUCUGAUGUCUCUUGCAAAUCAGUGAAGUGAAAUUAAUUUUUUAACUAGCCUUGUAUUUCGAUUUUUAUAAGAAUGAAUUUGUUUUCAGCCUUUUCAACUAAUUUUUAUAUUAUGCGAAAGGUAGAUAGGCCAAAUGCGAAAACAUAGUAACUGGAACCGCUUAAUUUGGAGCCUACUUUGGGCCGUUUGGUUAAGACUCCGUGUGAUGUCUUGGAGUCUUUUGACUUCUGCACUAAUUUGUGAGCGCACUUCUAACCAUUAAAGCUGGUUUAUUCAAUGAACUCUCGCCAACCCAAAAUACUUGCUUUAGGUAACUCAAAAGGGCACGAUUUUAAGCUAAGGAAAUUCUAGUUUAAGCUUCAAUUAGCAUUUUAC